RNAcentral lists this ribosomal RNA (486 nucleotides) under uncultured bacterium. RNAcentral describes it as "partial 16S ribosomal RNA". It matches the Rfam family "Bacterial small subunit ribosomal RNA", at positions 30 to 507 of the family's 1533-position model. The record is from RNAcentral.
AUUGAACGCUGGCGGCAUGCCUUACACAUGCAAGUCGAACGGCAGCACGGGUGAUUGCACCUGGUGGCGAGUGGCGAACGGGUGAGUAAUACAUCGGAACAUGUCCUGUAGUGGGGGAUAGCCCGGCGAAAGCCGGAUUAAUACCGCAUACGAUCUACGGAUGAAAGCGGGGGACCUUCGGGCCUCGCGCUAUCGGGUUGGCCGAUGGCUGAUUAGCUAGUUGGUGGGGUAAAGGCCUACCAAGGCGACGAUCAGUAGCUGGUCUGAGAGGACGACCAGCCACACUGGGAGUGAGACACGGCCCAGACUCCUACGGGAGGCAGCAGUGGGGAAUUUUGGACAAUGGGCGAAAGCCUGAUCCAGCAAUGCCGCGUGUGUGAAGAAGGCCUUCGGGUUGUAAAGCACUUUUGUCCGGAAAGAAAUCCUUGGCCCUAAUACGGUCGGGGGAUGACGGUACCGGAAGAAUAAGCACCGGCUAACUACGUG